Molecule: ribosomal RNA, 211 nt
Filed under: uncultured bacterium
Lineage: Bacteria
Description: partial 16S ribosomal RNA
Rfam family: Bacterial small subunit ribosomal RNA
Source: RNAcentral
GACGUAGGGCGCGAGCGUUGUCCGGGAUUUAUUGGGCGUAAAUGAGCUCGUAGGCGGCUUAUCGCGUCGAAUGUGAAAACUUGGGGCUCAACCCUAAGCCUGCAUUCGAUACGGGCAGGCUAGAGUUCGGUAGGGGAGACUGGAAUUCCUGGUGUAGCGGUGAAAUGCGCAGAUAUCAGGAGGAACACCGGUGGCGAAGGCGGGUCUCUGG